GGGUUAAUUGAAAGUGAAGUAUUUAAUAUCUUUCUCAUAAGAUAGAAGUCUAUAAAAAGCGAUAGCGAGGGUUGAGACCAGGAAAAAGGAAAGUCUUCUUGUACCUUUUGUAUCAGGGUUGAAGGAUUAAAGUGAAUAAUAAUUCAUUUCCCGAAGGUGAAAGAUCUUUUAAACUAAUAUUUUAGCGUUUAAUUUUUAAGAGAAAUGGUUUAAAAGAAGCGAAAAGUUAGUCGAUUUUAUGGAUAUCUGGUUCCUUUUUAAGAUCUGAGGGAUAAGCUUCAGUAUUCAGGAUAAAGGUGGGAUUAAAUUAAGAUUGUUGUUUUAAUUAAUUUAAAUUUUGUUUCCUUCCAAAAGGAACUCCUCUAAAUAAAGUUUAGGAGAAUAUAAUCUUCAAAUUAGUAUUUCUGGAAAAUUAAAAAAAGGAAUUCGGCAAACUGAAUCUGGAAUGUUUAAUAAAAACAUUUCUUAUUUUAAAAAUAGUAAGUAGGCCCUGCUCACUGCACUAGUAAAUAGCCGCAGUAUUUUGACUGUGCUAAGGUAGCAUAAUAAUUUGCCUUUUAAUUGAAGGCUAGAAUGAACGGGUUAACCGAGGUUCAACUGUCUCUUUUUAAAGACAGUAAGUUCAAUUUUGAGUGAAAAUGCUCAAAUGCCAUAGAGGGACGAGAAGACCCUUUAGAUCUUUCUCAAGGCCUAAGAAGGCUUAGAGUUACCUGGGAGGGGGCUAAUUUUAAACUUUAGAUUAAACUAAAGAACGUUAGUUCAAACAUGUAGAUCCUUGUUGGAAUAAAAGCUUAGAUACCUAAGGGAUAACAGCGCUAUUCUCUUUUUUUAGAUCAUUUAAAAUAAAGAAGCUUGCGACCUCGAUGUUGAAUUAAGUUAAAUUGAAUUAGUAAAAGAAUUCUUAUUUAGUCUGUUCGACUAUUAAAAACUUACAUGAUUUGAGUUUAGACCGACGAGAGUCAGGUCAGAUUCUAUCUUCUAUGACAUUUCAGCCUUUAGUACGAAAGGACCAAGGGUGAUAAUAGCAUUAAUUUAAUAAACUUUU
This 1045-nucleotide ribosomal RNA is filed under the name Polyplax reclinata. RNAcentral describes it as "16S ribosomal RNA". It matches the Rfam family "Bacterial large subunit ribosomal RNA", at positions 531 to 2726 of the family's 2925-position model. The record is from RNAcentral. Lineage: Eukaryota; Metazoa; Arthropoda; Insecta; Psocodea; Polyplacidae.